ACAUUUCAUCAUCAGCAUCCAUCGAUUCCACAAGGAAAUUAUCCUCAUUGUCCUUAUUGGUGGCCACAUGCUCUGUCUGAGCAUUUGGGAGCAGCUCACCAAAAGCAGAUUUGACUACGGGCUUUUCUGCAGCUGGGGGAGGACGAAUGUUCUGCUUGUUUGGGCUUGAAAAUGUUGGAUCUUUUUGCUGCUGCUUCUGCUGCAAUUUCUGCUUUACGCGCAAGAAGAACUUCUGAGGAGAUUCCAAUACAAUGGGGUCUACGUUUAACAUUUUCACAGCCUGGUUCUGAGGAAUCCGAAUGCACGGUAAUUCUCUCCUGGGCGGCUCCGUGGCCCUGCGCUGUCCCCCGCCUGCAACGCGCGGCCCGGGCCCGCCGGGCGUCAGGAUGCGGUCGCUGCCGCCGCCGGCCCUGGUCUUCAUCUUCAUCCUCAGGAAGGCCGCGGCCGGGGAUUGCUGGGCGGGCGGCUCGCGCGCGCGGCGCUUCGGCGGUGGCGGUCCGGGCCCGGGGCGGAUCUCGCUGAUCUCCAGCGGCUCCCGCGCGCCCGCGCCGCCCUCCAGCAGCGUGGACUGCAGCACGGGGCCCGGCGCCGGGCGGGCGGGCGGGCAGAGCGCGGAGUUACCCCGACAGCGCAGGUCCUUCAGCGGGGUGAGCGUGCCCGCGGGGAUGGAGCUGAGGAACACCGCCUGGAACGGCAUCUCCCCACGGCGGGGCGUGGCGAUCAUCGCGGCGCGGGGCUGCGGGCUGUCCCGCUGCGGGCUGUCCCCUCGCGCCCCGGCUCCCGGUCCCGCUGUGGUGGCGGCCCGUCCCCGCCCCGUCCCGCCCUGUGCCUCUCACAGAGCGCGCGCAGCGCCCAGGAGAAGAUUUGAGUUGGAAGCUCCUCGCGCUGAUUGGAGGUGGGGCUGCGUGACGUCAGAGCGCGCGGGGCGGAAAUGGCGGAACAGAGCGGAAGUGAAGUAGCAGAGCGCCGCUUCCGGAUGGGUGGUGGUUCCGCCAUAUGGCUGCUGAUCGCCGGCGGCUCGGGCUCAGUCUGCGGUGCUCUGUGGCUGCUUGGGGCUGUGUGUCCCCGGGGCAGCACCAACCCCGGAGGAUCUCUGUGGGCGUUGCUGUGGCUGUGCUGGCUCCUGGUGCGGCGCUUUGGGGCAGCGGUGUGCGGAGCGGAGCUAGCCCCGCUGGGUGAUGGGGGAACGGUGAGAGAGCUCUGUGGUUCCUGAAGUUCUCACCGGGUGAGACACCUGUGAGGCUUUUCCGUAAGCCAAUGAGCCCCGCUUCCCUCCGGUUACCUGCAGCAGCCUUUGGAUUUCUUCCUUCUGGGAAAGUGCAGUAGGAUCUGUAGGGAGUUUGGUGAGCAUGUGACCUCUUUUUUAGCAGAAGGGGGUUGUGAGCUCUGAGGGUAGUUUGAGGAAGCUGUGGGUGCUCACACGUGGUAAAUCAACCUCAUUAACAGGGCAGAGCAAGGCCCCUGUUUUACGUGCUGGGCUCCAGGAGAGCUUCCUAUGCAAUGUGUCUUGUUUGCUGUUGCUUUGUUCCCUAAAGGAGAGGAGAGAUUGAUUGUGUAAGGAAGAAAAAGUCAUCCUGGCUACCUACAGAGAACUUAAGCUAAUAAGAAAUAGUAGGGCUGUUAAUUGAUUUUCUUUGAGCAUUUACAGGUGCUGCAUACAGGUGGAGCAGCAGCUGUGUAAGGAGGAGAGCUGACUGUUGCAGGGCCAGUAUUGCACUUGGAGGUAAAAAGUACAGGGUUUUUAGCUCAAAGCCAUACCUGGAGGGUGGCAGCUGGGUCUGAGCCUUGUCAGGUUGUAAAAAUUAACACUAGGAAUGGUUUGCAUGUUCAGGUAUCCAAGGCCAGGAAUGAGAGUAAAACAUCCAAUGCUUUUGCACGCCUUGGGCCACGAUUAUUUUGGUUGUCUGAAAUAGCAGCUUCUGCUCUGCUUUGAUGCCAGCAAAGCCUGAAGGAGCGAGGAGUCAUCCUGCCAGUCACACCCCAUAUGUGCAAGGUCCCAUCAUUACUGUGUUUAGAGUACUGCAUAGAUCUGGGGGACUGCUUAGAAUACCAAAGCAGCAUGGAAACAGCACAGAAAAAUGCCACUAAAAUAAGUCAGAUUUCAGCACUGCUAUAUAAGUCCUGCAGGGUAGGACUCCCCUCAGCUGAGGGCCACGCUCACCUGCUUCAGAUGGCCAGUCAGAUGGAAAAACACUCUGCUAUCUGCAUAUGCCUCUUUCUCCAGUGGCAAGGAAGGUCUUGGAUGUCCUCGUGCUGAACCUCACCUAACAGUUGGUCUGUAGCCCACCUUGCAUUCUAGUGUUACCAGUCAGUAAGCAUAUGCCAAGGUAUCUGAGUAGUCCCACUGAUUUCUUGUGACUGUAAAGCUGAACAGAUGCUUUUCCUGGGACUGGGUAUUAAUGUGGGCUGGUGUUGAAGGUGUGUAAAUGAACCUUGUGCAAACUUGCAUCAAAAUGCAGGAGUCUUUUUAUGUGGGAGGAGAUCCUUAUCUUUAGGAAAUUGGGUAUGCAAUGCUGCAGAGAUUUCUUCCAGUAGAAGGCGCACGCAGGCAUUGUAAGCAAGGCCAAAAGCUUUGAGAGCCCAAUGAGCAAAGGGAGAGGAAUAGAGAACUUUCCCCACCAGGAAAUUUUAAAGCCAGUAAUAAACCAUCCUGCAUGUACAGACAUGCGUAUAUGUUAAAUGUGGGUAUAUUUACUUCUGCCAUCUCCACCUUGACAGAGAAACCUGCAGGUUUCUUUUCAGCCAUACAAGCAAUUGCUUUAUGGUCUCAAAAAUCUGAAGGUUAAAUUGGAUUACAUAGGAACCUGGAAAAUUAAAACAAAAGUACAGUUUUCUCCCAGAAAUGGAUGUAUGCCUUCCAUUAAAUGAAAGAAAACAAACAAGAAAUGGGGAUAAAGCACAGUGAAGGUAAUGCCAGUGGGUUACACACUAGUUAGCCAGGCAGAUGUGUAGAUACGAUUUGUGUAAUGACUGAGUUACCAGAAAAAUGGCUUCAAGAAAAAAAGUUAUACUGAAAGACUGUGCCUCUUUGCAGAGCUUCACAGUAAUUAUAGGAAACAGGAAACUUGAGGGCAAAAGGGCAUUUCUUUAAUUAUCAACAGUAAUUUAUCUUGGCUAAAUGGGAUACAAUAAAAGAUGCUUAAUUUUAAACACACUCCCUCCCUUUGCUCUGCUUCUCCCAUUGGAAACUCUGGGAGACUGCUAUGGGAAUGCAGAACGCUCUCAUGGGUGCUGUAGAUGUUCAAGAACCAACAGAAGCUGUUUGUUCCCUUGGUUUUUGUACAUCAAGCAUCUCCCUGGGCACAAAUGUGAUGCAGAAGAGUGACACAGCUCAGAGGACUGCAGAUGCUCACUCCUGUGCCUCCACACUUACAGUACUGCACAGCAGUGCUUUGGUGACGGUACCCACUGAAGGUAACAUGAAAGAGAGUGAAAUCCUUAAGCGUUCCCAUGGAAAAGCACACACUGCGGCCAAACAGCGCACAAGUUUUCCUGUGUCUAACCAUACACUGCAGGUCUGGCUGAAGGCACAGGAAUUUACCCACGCUUUGCAGUGCAGGCUUUCUGGUUGCUGCCACAGCAGUGCUCAGGAGAAGGGGAUGGAACAAUUUCCAGUGGGCGCACAGCAGUUCCAACUCAAAUCCUCUCCUUGUCUCUCCCAGCCAGGUGGGCGGGGGGCAGAGCAGGGCCACAGAGCUGCCCAGGAGAGGUUUGUAUUUAUUCCCCCUACUCUGUUUGCAGACGGGACUGACCUGUUGUCAUAGGUUGAGUCUAGAGGGCUUGGUGUUGGACCUCUCACUGCCAGACAGACAUUGAGGUACUGGAGUGUGCCUGUGUGCAGAGAGGGGAACGGAGCUGUGAGGGCUCUGGAGCACACAUCUGAUGGGGAGCUGCUGAGGGAGAGGGGGGUGGGGGGGGCAGUGUGGAGAAGGGGCUCAGGGGAGACUUUAGAGCCCUCCACAACUGCCUGAAAGGAGGUGGUGCUGGGAUGUGGGUAGGCCUCUGCUCCCAGGUAACAGCAAUAGCACAGAGGGAACGGCCUCGAGUUGUGCCAGGGAGGGUCAGGUUGGGCGUUAGGAAACACUUCUUCCUCCAAAUUGCUGUCAGGUGCUGCAAUGGGCUGCCCAAGGAGUGGUGCAGUCACCGUGCCUGGAGGUGUUCAGGGAGCACGGGGCUGUUGUACCGAGGGCCAUG
RNAcentral lists this long non-coding RNA (4194 nucleotides) under Gallus gallus (chicken). The record is from RNAcentral. Lineage: Eukaryota; Metazoa; Chordata; Aves; Galliformes; Phasianidae.